This 1338-nucleotide long non-coding RNA is filed under the name Marmota monax (woodchuck). The record is from RNAcentral. Lineage: Eukaryota; Metazoa; Chordata; Mammalia; Rodentia; Sciuridae.
CUUUUUUUCUGAUUCAGGUUAUAAAUAACUCCCAUAAUAAUUUGGGACUUCAGAUUUUGACUAUAUUGGAGGAACUGGAUAAACAUUCUCACCGAGGACAACCAGAAGAUGGAUUCAACCGCACAUGCAUACUAAAACCUGACCUGUCUGAAGUUGUUUGCUGUAGUGAUUCUCAGAAACCCAGCCCUGGCCCGAGGUCUUCAGAGAUGACAGUGUCAUGAGGAGAGCCCACUACUCUGCACACCACGGGACUCCCAAGCAUGUGCCAGUUCUGGGUGGAGCAAGAGGCUGAGCUCAAAGCCUAAGGGACAGAGAAGCCAGUAGGAGUUCCCUCCAUCCAUGGCUUGGCUUGGAGCCAACACAAGGCACAAGUAGAGACUUGUGAGGUCCAAGAGUUUGAGACAUUGAGGUUCAGGGAGUGUCUUGGAAGUGGUCACAGAGAAGGGGGCUAUUUCCCCACCAGGUACUAGUUGAUUGGUAAACUGCCCAAAGCAAGAGAUCUCAAUGUACAGUGAAGGUCAAGCAAGGAUCUCAGCAGUCUCACUUCUUCACUGUGGAGACGAAAGUUAACAUGAAGGAUGUCCCAGAAAGGGAGGCCUGGCCCUACCCUGUGCUGGAGAUUCUCCACACUUAGUAUCUGAAACAGACCAAUGUAAAUGGCAUCAAGUCAGAGACCACCAGCCUGCAUUCUGCUGAAGAGGAGAUGGGUGGACCCUGCAGGAUCAUCACCCGGAGCCUCUCAGAGUUGACAUUCACAGAGACAAGAAUUCAUAGACCAUCACCAGCCGAACCAGGAAACCUCUCCAAGGGGGAGACAUGGAGGGAUGAGCCUCCGGGCUGAAGCAGACUGUUCCUGGAGACCAACCAAGAAUUACCUGCAGGUGCUGUGUUCAGGACGACCCAGGGAGACCGACUCUACAAGCUACAAUCAGAAAUUGCAGAACUAGAGGGAUAGGGCCAAGGUCAGAGGACGUGUUCACCAGGGUUCAUAGCAAGGGAGACGGGAGCAUAGAAAGCUGAAGAAUGGGCGAUAGGAACCAUCGUGAAUGACACGCGGCCCGGCAACAUGUCCUAUGUAUGUAACUGAAGUAAAGAGGAAGAUGGAGAUGAUAGCAGAAGCCACGUUCAAAGGCAAAUUGUGGAUGAUGUUUCAAAACAGAUCAGAGACUCCAAGCUGGAGCUUGGAGUGAAGACCUGGAACCUAACAGGGAUAAAUGAGAAAUAUGAGCAAAUAUAAAAUCACCAUGACAGUAAAAAAACACCAUGAUAAGAGAAUAAAAUAUGCAGAACAGAGCAGCUGAGGCAAAAACAUAUCUCAACCUUUGCAAUAUCAGUGGU